This 21-nucleotide microRNA is filed under the name Lepisosteus oculatus (spotted gar). RNAcentral's name for it is "Loc-Mir-551-P2_3p (mature (guide))". The record is from RNAcentral. Lineage: Eukaryota; Metazoa; Chordata; Actinopteri; Semionotiformes; Lepisosteidae. RNAcentral also lists the same sequence under 2 other names.
GCGACCCAUACUUGGUUUCUG